Molecule: long non-coding RNA, 776 nt
Filed under: Homo sapiens (human)
Lineage: Eukaryota; Metazoa; Chordata; Mammalia; Primates; Hominidae
Description: HSALNT0389789
Source: RNAcentral
UGUGGGCAGAAAAUCAUUGGAGCAAGUUAGAGUAAAAUGAGCUGAAGAGAUUGGAAAAUACUAAAAGGGCUUUGUGUAAGAAUAUUGUUCCUCCUUGGACUUCCUCCAAACAAAAGCUUGAAAUUAUAAAUUCAUUUCCAUCAAGAAGACUAUUCAUCUCCACAGCAACCUAACAUGCCCCAAGGAGAAGAUUACUACCCCCAUACUGACUUGCAGUCCUCGCUCUCCAGCAGGCUCCGGUACGUGUUGAUCUCACACUCCAGCCGCGCCCGCACGUCCAGCAGCACCUGAUACUCCUGCCGCGCCCGCACGUCCAGCAGCACCUGAUACUCCUGGUUCUGCCGCUCCAGGAGGCUCCGGUACGUGUUGAUCUCACACUCCAGCCGGGCACGCACGUCCAGCAGCACCUGGUACUCCUGGUUCUGCCGCUCCAGCCGGGCACGCACAUCCAGCAGCACCUGGUACUCCUGGUUCUGCCGCUCCAGGUCACUGCGGAUCUCCGCCAGCUGGGACUCCACGUUGGUGAUCAGGCUCUGCACCUGGGACAGCUGGGAGCUGUAGCGGGCCUCACUCUCUGUCAGCGUGUUUUCCAGAGAGUCUCGCUGUGGUGGAGAAGAUUGGGAAUGUCAGAGAGCUGCUCCUUCAAAGGGUUUCUUCACAGGAUUACAAGGAAGUCACAAGCUCCAAGAGCUAAGGAGAGUGUGUGGCCCCAAGCACAUCCCCGGGACUCUGCCUCCCAAGUUCCCGUCGCUCACCAGCAGGUCUGAACAAUACAC